Molecule: transfer RNA, 77 nt
Filed under: Nevskia sp.
Lineage: Bacteria; Pseudomonadati; Pseudomonadota; Gammaproteobacteria; Nevskiales; Nevskiaceae
Description: tRNA-His
Rfam family: tRNA
About the family: Transfer RNA (tRNA) molecules are approximately 80 nucleotides in length. Their secondary structure includes four short double-helical elements and three loops (D, anti-codon, and T loops).
Source: RNAcentral
GUGGGCGUAGCUCAGCUGGUUAGAGCUCUGGAUUGUGAUUCCAGAGGUCGUGGGUUCGAGUCCCAUCGUCCACCCCA